UGACAAGUGAUGAUUGGGAAAAGGUGAUAGACCAACCGCUCAGAGAGCCGGUGGAUGCUGCGAACCGGUGCGGAGCUGUCAUUGAAGUCACCCAUGAACUCUUUUGCUGAUCUGCAUGCAUGUGCUUUAGGCAAGAGCGAGACCGGACGUUAACCGGAAGCCUCAAUUUCGAGGCGUAGAGUAUAAUGUAGGGUGGUACCGCGAAAAUCGCCCCUAUU
Molecule: non-coding RNA, 218 nt
Filed under: Anaerosporomusa subterranea
Lineage: Bacteria; Bacillati; Bacillota; Negativicutes; Acetonemataceae
Description: Anaerosporomusa subterraneum T-box sequence
Rfam family: T-box leader
About the family: Uncharged tRNA acts as the effector for transcription antitermination of genes in the T-box leader family.
Source: RNAcentral